Molecule: ribosomal RNA, 506 nt
Filed under: uncultured bacterium
Lineage: Bacteria
Description: partial 16S ribosomal RNA
Rfam family: Bacterial small subunit ribosomal RNA
Source: RNAcentral
GAUGAACGCUAGCUACAGGCUUAACACACGCAAGUCGAGGGGUAACGAGAGGGAAGCUUGCUUUCCUUGUCGACGACCGGCGCACGGGUGAGUAACGCGUAUCCAACCUGCCCCCAACUAGGGAAUAACCUUGCGAAAGUAAGACUAAUACCCUAUAAUUUCCUCAGAUGUCAUCUGACGAGGAAUAAAGAUUUAUCGGUUGUGGAUGGGGAUGCGUCUGAUUAGCUUGUUGGCGGGGUAACGGCCCACCAAGGCAAUGAUCAGUAGGGGUUCUGAGAGGAACGGCCCACACCGUGUAACUGAGACACGGUCCAAAUGCCUACGGGAGGCAGCAGUGAGGAAUAUUGGUCAAUGGGCGUAAGCCUGAACCAGCCAAGUAGCGUGCAGGAUGACGGCCCUAUGGGUUGUAAACUGCUUUUAUACAGGAAUAAAGUUAGCCACGUGUGGUUAUUUGUAGGUACUGUAUGAAUAAGGACCGGCUAAUUCCGUGCCAGCCGCCGCCGUAA